UCCCUGGUGGCUUAGCUGGUAAAGAAUCCACCUUCAACGUGGGAGACCUGGGUUCAAUCCCUAGGUUAGGAA
Molecule: transfer RNA, 72 nt
Filed under: Ovis aries (sheep)
Lineage: Eukaryota; Metazoa; Chordata; Mammalia; Artiodactyla; Bovidae
Rfam family: tRNA
About the family: Transfer RNA (tRNA) molecules are approximately 80 nucleotides in length. Their secondary structure includes four short double-helical elements and three loops (D, anti-codon, and T loops).
Source: Rfam by way of RNAcentral